Molecule: RNA transcript, 4242 nt
Organism: Bombyx mori (domestic silkworm)
Lineage: Eukaryota; Metazoa; Arthropoda; Insecta; Lepidoptera; Bombycidae
Gene: SPARC
Gene name: secreted protein, acidic, cysteine-rich (osteonectin)
Exons: 9
Source: RefSeq, marked provisional
AAGGCGAGUUUAUAGUUCUGACAGUAGACUGAAGGAGGAUUGUGAUUUGUGAGGCAAGGCAGCAAGCUCAGUCGACCGCCGGCUUUCGACGCGACUGCCGCCUGCUUCACAUAGAAACGCAUCAUCGAAAGGCAAGAUGAAGGGUCUUCUUGCGUUGGCCCUCGUGAUCGCGGUCAUUUGCACCGCCGACGCUAGUCGUAUGCGGCGUAGGCACCGCAGGAUCCGCACCACGACUACUGAACGUCCAACGUCGGAGCAGCUCGGCCGCGGGGACAUCUCGGAGGCUGAACACAUCGAGCACGGAAUGUCUGAGAGCUUGGACGAGAAGCGAUACCAUGAGGCAGAAAUAGCCAGAGUUAACGACCUUCUCAACGAGGUCUCUAAUGAAGAGAAUGAAGACGAAGAAAUCAACAUGGAAGACCCUUGCCUGAAAGUCCACUGCAGCGCAGGACGUGUCUGCGAAAUCAACGAACACGGAGACGCCAUGUGUAACUGCAUCAAGGACUGUCCCUACGAGACAGACUCCAGACGCAUGGUGUGCACAAACUUCAACGAAACCUGGCAAUCGGAUUGCGAAGUAUACCGCCAGCGAUGCUUAUGCCUCGACAACUCUGAUCAGUGCCGUGGUCCGCAAUACCACCACGUUCAAAUCGAGUAUUACGGAACGUGCCGAGAAAUGCCUGACUGCACUGAAAGCGAGAUGUCUGACUUCCCCCGUCGCAUGCGGGACUGGCUUUUUAACAUCAUGCGCGACAUGGCUGAACGUAGAGAGCUGACCCCUCAUUACCUGAAGAUGGAGCGGGAGGCGGAAUCAAACCUCACGCGUCGUUGGGCCAAUGCCGCUAUAUGGAAAUGGUGCGAUCUGGACGCUCAGACCAAUGAUAGAUUCGUGUCCCGUCACGAGCUGUUCCCCAUUAGAGCUCCGCUGAUGGCCCUAGAGCACUGCAUCGCGCCAUUCCUGGACCGCUGCGACGCUGACGACGACCACCGCGUCACUCUCGCCGAGUGGGGCAAGUGCCUCGAACUCGACGAGGUAAACUAUUUUGUUAUUUAUUAAUAACUCCGGCAGACUUCAUAGUGCCUCAAUCGAUAAAUAAAAGACCUAAACUUUUGUAUAAAAUAAAUUUAAAACAAACAAAAGGAAUCCGUCCGACGGGGGACACGUCAAACUUCGAUCAACAAUAGUUACUAUUGUUGAUCGAAGACGUCAAAGGAAAAAUAAAAUUGUUAAUUUUAUUUAAAUCCGAGCAUUUUCCUAUUUAUCUAACUUUUAAACCUUCUCUUUUUUUUUUUUUUUAUUGCCCUUGUAGGCAGACUAGCAUACGGCCCACCUGAUGGUGAGUGGUUACCGUCGCCCAUGGACUUCAGCAAUGCCAGGGGCAGAGCCAAGCCGCUGCCUACCGUAAAACUCUGGACGUCUCUGGACUUCCACAAAUAAUUCAAGACCAAAAUUAGCCAAAUCGGUCCAGCCGUUCUCGAGUUUUAGCAAGACUAACGAACAGCAAUUCAUUUUUAUAUAGAUAGAUAGAUAGAAUUAACAGGUAUCUAAAGUGACUAUCUGAGAUUUGAACAAAAAAGAAUCGUAAUAUGAUGAAAGAAAUAGAGAGAGAUAAACCUAGGAAGUUCUUCGCUGAAUCUACGGAGAAGAUCCGGCGCGAAAAUCUAUGCUCAACUAAGCUUCAGCAUAAUUCGGUAUUGUGCGUCACUGAGUCGCAUUAUGCUCUGUAAUUAACCAUUACUCAGUGACGCACAAUGCCGAAUUAUGCUGAAGCUUAGUUGAGCAUUAUGCCCCAUAAUGCGCUCUUGUGUUGUAAUUGGAAAACGGCCAUUAUGUCGAUCUUAGAAUAGAGUACAUAUCUUCGAUAAUUAUUAAAAAAAUGUGCAACUCUCACGCACGGCAUGAGUGUAACCUUCACAAGUAUUCUAUCUCGUUCUCUCGUGGACUAAAUCUUUUUGAUACCAUUUUCGUCUCCGAUUAAUAUUAUAUUACUACUUACUUAAUAUUAUAUUCAAAACAUGGACGCCACAGAAAUUUUGAUGUUAUAAUUGGUUAAUAAAUAUUUACAAUUGCCUUUUGAAGUUAUACUUAUUUAGGCGCGUUAUGAAAAUUGAUGAGAGUGAAAUUCUACGAUGCGCGCGCACCGUGACAAAAAAUUAACAGAAAUGAAGUUGCCCACUAAAUCGCUCAUUACAAUACGACCGACGUAACUUGGCGGGUCUGAAUAUAGCCGCGGGUGAACUUUCCGAACCGUACAGAGAAUUACCGAAUUUAUACGAUGUCAAAAAAAUGGAUGUCCAAUAUGCGUGUUUGAGGAUGUUGUUUAAUCGAUUUUUAUUCAAAUUUAUUAAAAUUUAAAUAAAAAAAAAGAAAUAAACUUAAUAAAAAUAAAGUAUAACUUCUUACGCGCGUACAUAAGUACACGCACCAGUUUUUUUUUUUUUUAAAUCCUCGUAAAAAUUAUGAUUUUUUUUUUUUUUUUUUUUUAUUGCUUAUAUGGGUGGACGAGCUCACAGCCCACCUGGUGUUAAGUGGUUACUGGAGCCCAUAGACAUCCACAACGUAAAUGCGCCACCCACCUUGAGAUACAAGUUCUAAGGUCUCAUGUACAGUUACAACGGCUGCCCCACCCUUCACACCGAAACGCAUCACUGCUUCACGGCAGAAAUAGGCAGGGUAGUGGUACCCACCCGCGCGGACUCACAAGAGGUCCUACCACCAGUAAUUACGCAAAUUAUAAUUUUGCGGGUUUCAUUUUUAUUACACGAUGUUAUUCCUUCACCGUGGAAGUCAAUCGUGAACAUUUGUUGAGUACGUAUUUCAUUAGAAAAAUUGGUACCCGCCUGCGGGAUUCGAACAUCGGUGCAUCGCUUCAACACGAAUGCACCGGACGUCUUAUCCGUUAGGCCACGACGACUUCAUCUUGACCUUAUCUAUUAACAGAAUUUUGGAAUUAUUUACAAAAAUUAAGCAGAUUUUAGCAGAAUUUAUACAGGUAACUGGCAUAAUGUUCGAUUUAAAUCUGGUCACACUGUUAAUAUAGCUAUUUCGUUCGAUGAUGUUUCAAAUCACAAUGGUAGGUGAAUGAAGUUAGCCCCUCAAAAAAAUUUUUUUUUCCUAUUUUAUACUUAUUUUCUAUUAAUUCGUUUGUUCAUCAUUUGUUCAUGAUUGUUCACUGUUCAUAAUUGUUUGUUCUGCAGUUAUUUAUUUAAAAAAUAUAUUUCAAAAUAUACCUACAAGUUAGCCCCUCUAAUGCAAUUUUUAAUAUUUUUUCAUCCUUAAUGACUCGUAAAUAUUCAUUUUCGAUUGUUCUUAUAUAAAACACGUUUGUUCUCUUUCGAAAUUACUCGUUUUUUGUUUAAUUUACUAUUUUCAUUAGUUGAAUAAAUGUAUGCAAAAUAUGUGUACUGCGCAUGCGUCAACUAUAAUGCCUAAACUUUCUACGCGGUUUUAAUCGUGAAAAAAAAAACAAAUAUUAAUCCUGAAGGAGCAAUUAAUUGGUAUACAGUUUAAUUAAAAAAAUUAAAAAAUAAAUAAAUGAAAUAAUGUGCAUUGGCGUUAAGUUAGACCAAAUACAUUUUUUCCAUCAUCCUACUUAUCGUUAUGAAGGUAUAAAAAAGAUAGGGAGUUCACAUAGCUGGAAAACUACAUGGAGAAUUAUAUGCAAUACAAGAUAAUGAGCUCCAUUAAAUGAAUUCGAAUGAAACCAAACUGUUUACCAUCCAAAUUCGAUUGUCGGGCAGAUAGAAAACGAAAAUUCACUCAUAGUGAACCUCGGCCUGCAUUUGUGAAACGGCAAAGACUCACUAUUAUCAAGGAAAUUGAAGAGACAACUAAAAAUGAGAUGUGUCGUAUUAUUAUACCUUUGCCAUCUUGUAGUCAAGAUGUCCAGCCACUUGAAAAUAGGUGUAGUAAUGACAAAGCUAUCCAAGUAGCUCCAGCACAGGAACACAAAGGCAAGGCAAGUGUGUAUUGCCACAUCACCCCUUAAUAUAUCUGAAGCAAGUAUAAGUAAACAAUCAGAACCAGCAAAAAAAAAAACUGUUGUUCCUGAGGACAAAUUUGACAGUGAUGAGUCAAAUGCACCAGCAACAGAAGGAUCAACUGUUGACUAUGGGUUAUAGAAGAAGAAGAUUAAUUCAUAUUUAUUUAAAUUAAUAUUAAUGAAUAUUAAUUUAAAUUAUCGUGCAAAAUUCGUGGUCAAAACAUAUGUGUAUUUUAUAAAUAAAUAUUCAUUCUCAGUA